CCUACGGGGGGCAGCAGUGGGGAAUAUUGGGCAAUGGGGGAAACCCUGACCCAGCAACGCCGCGUGAAGGACGAAGGCCUUCGGGUUGUAAACUUCUUUGAUCAGGGACGAAAAAAAUGACGGUACCUGAAGAACAAGCCACGGCUAACUACGUGCCAGCAGCCGCGGUAAUACGUAGGUGGCGAGCGUUAUCCGGAUUUACUGGGUGUAAAGGGCGUGUAGGCGGCCUUGCAAGUCGGAUGUGAAAUCCCCAGGCUUAACCUGGGCAGGUCAUCCGAAACUGCAGAUCUUGAGUACUGGAGAGGAUAGUGGAAUUCCUAGUGUAGCGGUAAAAUGCGUAGAUAUUAGGAGGAACACCAGUGGCGAAGGCGGCUCUCUGGACAGUAACUGACGCUGAGGCGCGAAAGCGUGGGGAGCAAACAGGCUUAGAUACCCGGGUAGUC
This 443-nucleotide ribosomal RNA is filed under the name uncultured Saccharofermentans sp. RNAcentral describes it as "bacterial SSU rRNA". It matches the Rfam family "Bacterial small subunit ribosomal RNA", at positions 338 to 795 of the family's 1533-position model. Lineage: Bacteria; Bacillati; Bacillota; Clostridia; Eubacteriales; Oscillospiraceae. The record is from RNAcentral.